This 885-nucleotide ribosomal RNA is filed under the name uncultured archaeon. RNAcentral describes it as "bacterial SSU rRNA". It matches the Rfam family "Archaeal small subunit ribosomal RNA", at positions 114 to 997 of the family's 1478-position model. The record is from RNAcentral.
CUUGGGUCCGGCAUAACCCCGGGAAACUGGGGAUAAUUCCGGAUAACGCAUAUAUGCUGGAAUGCUUUAUGCGUCAAAUGGAUUCGUCUGCCCAAGGAUGGGUCUGCGGCCUAUCAGGUAGUAGUGGGUGUAAUGUACCUACCAGCCGACGACGGGUACGGGUUGUGAGAGCAAGAGCCCGGAGAUGGAUUCUGAGACAUGAAUCCAGGCCCUACGGGGCGCAGCAGGCGCGAAAACUUUACAAUGCGGGAAACCGUGAUAAGGGGACACCGAGUGCCAGCAUCAUAUGCUGGCUGUCCGGGUGUGUAAAAUACACCUGUUAGCAAGGGCCGGGCAAGACCGGUGCCAGCCGCCGCGGUAACACCGGCGGCCCGAGUGGUGAUCGUGAUUAUUGGGUCUAAAGGGUCCGUAGCCGGUUUGGUCAGUCCUCCGGGAAAUCUGACGGCUUAACCGUUAGGCUUUCGGAGGAUACUGCCAGGCUUGGAACCGGGAGAGGUAAGAGGUACUACAGGGGUAGGAGUGAAAUCUUGUAAUCCCUGUGGGACCACCUGUGGCGAAGGCGUCUUACCAGAACGGGUUCGACGGCGAGGGACGAAAGCUGGGGGCACGAACCGGAUUAGAUACCCGGGUAGUCCCAGCCGUAAACGAUGCUCGCUAGGUGUCAGGCAUGGCGCGACCGUGUCUGGUGCCGUAGGGAAGCCGUGAAGCGAGCCACCUGGGAAGUACGGCCGCAAGGCUGAAACUUAAAGGAAUUGGCGGGGGAGCACAACAACGGGUGGAGCCUGCGGUUUAAUUGGACUCAACGCCGGACAACUCACCGGGGGCGACAGCAAUAUGUAGGCCAAGCUGAAGACUUUGCCUGAAUCGCUGAGAGGAGGUGCAUGG